Molecule: non-coding RNA, 1053 nt
Organism: Coffea arabica (coffee)
Lineage: Eukaryota; Viridiplantae; Streptophyta; Magnoliopsida; Gentianales; Rubiaceae
Source: RefSeq, a predicted model, not a curated record
AAAGACAAAGCAAAAUCACGCUGUAGUACAUCCACGAUCACACAUUCGUCCCUUCCCUCCCCCAGCCAGUCCCACUUUUAAGUCUUUUAAACUUCUCUUUAAGGAUUGCAGCGUCUAAAAGUUCUAGCAGGAGAACUUAAGCUGAUUUGAAUUUUAAUAGUAAGGACUAUUUUGAGUCGUAAUAAAGAAAGACUCAAAGGACUUUGAGGCUCGAACUGAAGGAAAAAUAUGGGGCUAAAAGCACUUCCCCUGUCACCCUCUCAGAAUGGGUUCCUGGGUAAUGCAGCGGUUGCGCCAAAAUUCUUCAGAUACCAUUCUAGCAGAAGCUGCAACUUCAUUGCUGUUUCCGCCAAGAAUGAGAGCGCUAGCACCGAAGAAGAAGCGGGCAACACAGAGAAGAAGCAGUCGCUGUUUUCAAGUGUGACAGAAGCUCUGGACUUUUCUCAGGUCCGAUCAGCUAAGGAUGCCGAGCUCUUGGAAGAAGCUAGCGAAUCUACGCGCUCAGGUGGACGCAUGAGUAGGGAACAGUAUGGGGCUCUUAGAAGGAAAAUCGGUGGAACAUACAAAGAUUUCUUCAAAUCCUAUAUUGAAGUGGAUGGACAAUACGUUGACGAAGGAUGGGUUGACAAAACAUGCAAAGUUUGCAAGAAAGAUACCAGGGGUGAACCAAGGCAAGUGGAUAAAUUCGGGAGAUACGUUCAUGUAGAAUGUCUUGAGAAGUCCAAGUCCGGAAAUUUUUUCACAAGGCUCUUCUCCAGCUGACUUCUGGAAGAGGCACAUCACCCUCAAGAUUGCCCCCUCCUCCUGGGCUUAGGUUUUGAUUAACCUAUUUCCAUAUGGACACAAUAGUUGUACGCUUCGUAUAUUGAAAUCGCAGUUCAGGCAUGUUUGAGUGAAAUCAGCUCCUAAACAUUUGUUUUUUCCCUUCUAAUUUUGGUGGGCUCUGCAUGGGUUGAGGCUGGAUGAACUUCUUAAGCAUUUUGUAAGUUUCAUUUUUGUGUGGAGUAUCUAUGGAGUCCAAACUUACUCUAAUAAUUUUAGAUUCUUCACUCA